CGGCACUCCAGAUGUUUUAGACUACACCUCCCGUGAUGCUUUGCCAGCAUUAUGGGUGAAAAAGCAUUAUGGGAGAUGUAGUCCAAAACAUCUGGAGUGUGG
This 102-nucleotide microRNA precursor is filed under the name Pelobates cultripes (western spadefoot toad). Lineage: Eukaryota; Metazoa; Chordata; Amphibia; Anura; Pelobatidae. The record is from RNAcentral.